UACGUAGGGUGCAAGCGUUAAUCGGAAUUACUGGGCGUAAAGCGUGCGCAGGCGGCUUUGCAAGACAGAUGUGAAAUCCCCGGGCUUAACCUGGGAACUGCAUUUGUGACUGCAUGGCUGGAGUGCGGCAGAGGGGGAUGGAAUUCCGCGUGUAGCAGUGAAAUGCGUAGAUAUCAGGAAGAACACCCGUGGCGAAGGCGGCUCUCUGGGACGGUACUGACGCUGAGACGCGAAAGCGUGGGGAGCAAACAGG
Molecule: ribosomal RNA, 253 nt
Filed under: uncultured bacterium
Lineage: Bacteria
Description: partial 16S ribosomal RNA
Rfam family: Bacterial small subunit ribosomal RNA
Source: RNAcentral